Hypomesus transpacificus is the source of this 154-nucleotide small nucleolar RNA. RefSeq annotates it as small nucleolar RNA SNORA84. Lineage: Eukaryota; Metazoa; Chordata; Actinopteri; Osmeriformes; Osmeridae. The record is from RefSeq and is a predicted model, not a curated record. The transcript has a single exon.
GCCUGGUGGUUCCUAGAGACGGCUGCUUCCGUGCUGAUCUUUAGGUUAUGAUUGACAGGCGCACAGCAUAGUUUAACCCUCUGUGAUUUUAUGCAUGGGAGCUGAUAUCCCCAAGCAGCCCGGUAUCCUCCAUAGCCCGGUUGCAGAGACAUUC